UUGUUGCAGUUAAAAAGCUCGUAGUUGAACCUUAGGCAAGGCGGCCUGGUCACCCACUGGGUGCACUGGGCUCGCCGCGCCUCACCUGCGGGGAACUAGUCGUGCUUCGGUGCGCUAGGGAACCGCGCCUUACUUUGAAGAAAUUAGAGUGUUUAAAGCAGGCUUUUGCUUGAAUACGCCAGCAUGGAAUAACAGGAUAGGACUUUGGUUCUAUUUUGUUGGUUUGAGGACCAAAGUAAUGAUUAAUAGGGCCAGUCGGGGGCAUUAGUAUUCUAUAGUCAGAGGUGAAAUUCUUGGAUUUAUAGAAGACUAACUAAUGCGAAAGCAUUUGCCAAGGAUGUUUUCAUUAAUCAAGAACGAAAGUUAGGGGAUCGAAGACGAUUAGAUACCGUCGUAGUCUUAACCAUAAACUAUGCCGACUAGGGAUCGGUGGAUGUCGCUUUUGACUCCAUCGGCACCUUACGAGAAAUCAAAGUUUUUGGGUUCUGGGGGGAGUAUGGUCGCAAGGCUGAAACUUAAAGGAAUUGACGGAAGGGCACCACCAGGAGUAGAGCCUGCGGUUUAAUUUGACUCAACACGGGAAAACUCACCAGGUCCGGACAUGGGAAGGAUUGACAGAUUGAGAGCUC
RNAcentral lists this ribosomal RNA (629 nucleotides) under uncultured eukaryote. RNAcentral describes it as "SSU rRNA". It matches the Rfam family "Eukaryotic small subunit ribosomal RNA", at positions 610 to 1257 of the family's 1831-position model. The record is from RNAcentral.